RNAcentral lists this ribosomal RNA (384 nucleotides) under uncultured bacterium. RNAcentral's name for it is "bacterial SSU rRNA". It matches the Rfam family "Bacterial small subunit ribosomal RNA", at positions 29 to 416 of the family's 1533-position model. The record is from RNAcentral.
CUUGAACGCUGGCGGCAUGCCUUACACAUGCAAGUCGAACGGCAGCACGGGAGCAAUCCUGGUGGCGAGUGGCGAACGGGUGAGUAAUACAUCGGAACGUGCCCUGUAGUGGGGGAUAACCCGGCGAAAGCCGGACUAAUACCGCAUGAGACCUGAGGGUGAAAGCGGGGGACCGCAAGACCUCGCGCUAUGGGAGCGGCCGAUGUCAGAUUAGCUAGUUGGGGGUAAAGGCCUACCAAGGCGACGAUCUGUAGCUGGUCUGAGAGGACGACCAGCCACACUGGGACUGAGACACGGCCCAGACUCCUACGGGAGGCAGCAGUGGGGAAUUUUGGACAAUGGGCGCAAGCCUGAUCCAGCCAUGCCGCGUGCGGGAAGAAGGCC